Molecule: ribosomal RNA, 447 nt
Filed under: uncultured bacterium
Lineage: Bacteria
Description: bacterial SSU rRNA
Rfam family: Bacterial small subunit ribosomal RNA
Source: RNAcentral
UCCAGACUCCUACGGGAGGCAGCAGUGGGGGAUAUUGCACAAUGGGGGAAACCCUGAUGCAGCGACGCCGCGUGAGUGAAGAAGUAUUUCGGUAUGUAAAGCUCUCUCAGCAGGGAAGAAGAUGACAGUACCUGAGUAAGAAGCCCCGGCUAACUACGUGCCAGCAGCCGCGGUAAUACGUAGGGGGCAAGCGUUAUCCGGAUUUACUGGGUGUAAAGGGAGCGUAGACGGUUAUGUAAGUCUGGAGUGAAAGCCCGGGGCCCAACCCCGGGACUGCGCUUGGAACUGCGUGGCUGGAGUGCAGGAGGGGCAGGCGGAAUUCCUGGUGUAGCGGUGAAAUGCGUAGAUAUCAGGAGGAACACCGGUGGCGAAGGCGGCCUGCUGGACUGCAACUGACGUUGAGGCCCGAAAGCGUGGGGAGCAAACAGGAUUAGAUACCCCAGUAUG